GAUGAAGAACGCAGCGAAAUGCGACAAGUAAUGUGAAUUGCAGAAUUCCGUGAAUCAUCGAAUCUUUGAACGCACAUUGCGCCCGCCAGCAUUCUGGCGGGCAUGCCUGUUCGAGCGUCAUUUCAACCCUCGAGCCCCCCCGGGGGCCUCGGUGUUGGGGGACGGCACACCAGCCGCCCCCGAAAUGCAGUGGCGACCCCGCCGCAGCCUCCCCUGCGUAGUAGCACACACCUCGCACCGGAGCGCGGAGGCGGUCACGCCGUAAAACGCCCAACUUUCUUAGAGUUGACCUCGGAUCAGGUAGGAAUACCCGCUGAACUUAAGCAUAUCAAUAAGCGGAGGA
RNAcentral lists this unclassified non-coding RNA (343 nucleotides) under soil metagenome. RNAcentral's name for it is "partial contains 5.8S ribosomal RNA, internal transcribed spacer 2, and large subunit ribosomal RNA". The stretch from base 1 to 120 matches the Rfam family "5.8S ribosomal RNA", at positions 35 to 154 of the family's 154-position model. The record is from RNAcentral.